RNAcentral lists this transfer RNA (67 nucleotides) under Ictidomys tridecemlineatus (thirteen-lined ground squirrel). RNAcentral describes it as "Spermophilus tridecemlineatus (thirteen-lined ground squirrel) tRNA". It matches the Rfam family "tRNA". Rfam says of the family: Transfer RNA (tRNA) molecules are approximately 80 nucleotides in length. The record is from Rfam by way of RNAcentral. Lineage: Eukaryota; Metazoa; Chordata; Mammalia; Rodentia; Sciuridae.
GGUGGUAGCUCAGUGGUAGAGCACUCACCUAGCAUGUGUGAGGCACUGGGUUCGAUUCUCAGCACCA